UGCAAGGUUAACCGAAUAGGGGAGCCGAAGGGAAACCGAGUCUUAACUGGGCGUUAAGUUGCAGGGUAUAGACCCGAAACCCGGUGAUCUAGCCAUGGGCAGGUUGAAGGUUGGGUAACACUAACUGGAGGACCGAACCGACUAAUCUUGAAAAAUUAGCGGAUGACUUGUGGCUGGGGGUGAAAGGCCAAUCAAACCGGGAGAUAGCUGGUUCUCCCCGAAAGCUAUUUAGGUAGCGCCUCGUGAAUUCAUCUCCGGGGGUAGAGCACUGUUUCGGCAAGGGGGUCAUCCCGACUUACCAACCCGAUGCAAACUGCGAAUACCGGAGAAUGUUAUCACGGGAGACACACGGCGGGUGCUAACGUCCGUCGUGAAGAGGGAAACAACCCAGACCGCCAGCUAAGGUCCCAAAGUCAUGGUUAAGUGGGAAACGAUGUGGGAAGGCCCAGACAGCCAGGAUGUUGGCUUAGAAGCAGCCAUCAUUUAAAGAAAGCGUAAUAGCUCACUGGUCGAGUCGGCCUGCGCGGAAGAUGUAACGGGGCUAAACCAUGCACCGAAGCUGCGGCAGCGACGCUUAUGCGUUGUUGGGUAGGGGAGCGUUCUGUAAGCCUGCGAAGGUGUGCUGUGAGGCAUGCUGGAGGUAUCAGAAGUGCGAAUGCUGACAUAAGUAACGAUAAAGCGGGUGAAAAGCCCGCUCGCCGGAAGACCAAGGGUUCCUGUCCAACGUUAAUCGGGGCAGGGUGAGUCGACCCCUAAGGCGAGGCCGAAAGGCGUAGUCGAUGGGAAACAGGUUAAUAUUCCUGUACUUGGUGUUACUGCGAAGGGGGGACGGAGAAGGCUAUGUUGGCCGGGCGACGGUUGUCCCGGUUUAAGCGUGUAGGCUGGUUUUCCAGGCAAAUCCGGAAAAUCAAGGCUGAGGCGUGAUGACGAGGCACUACGGUGCUGAAGCAACAAAUGCCCUGCUUCCAGG
RNAcentral lists this ribosomal RNA (970 nucleotides) under Enterococcus faecalis. Its description in RNAcentral is "partial 23S ribosomal RNA". It matches the Rfam family "Bacterial large subunit ribosomal RNA", at positions 639 to 1612 of the family's 2925-position model. Lineage: Bacteria; Bacillati; Bacillota; Bacilli; Lactobacillales; Enterococcaceae. The record is from RNAcentral.